AUUGAACGCUGGCGGCAGGCCUAACACAUGCAAGUCGAACGGUAGCACAGAGGAGCUUGCUCCUUGGGUGACGAGUGGCGGACGGGUGAGUAAUGUCUGGGAAACUGCCCGAUGGAGGGGGAUAACUACUGGAAACGGUAGCUAAUACCGCAUAACGUCGCAAGACCAAAGAGGGGGACCUUCGGGCCUCUUGCCAUCGGAUGUGCCCAGAUGGGAUUAGCUAGUAGGUGGGGUAACGGCUCACCUAGGCGACGAUCCCUAGCUGGUCUGAGAGGAUGACCAGCCACACUGGAACUGAGACACGGUCCAGACUCCUACGGGAGGCAGCAGUGGGGAAUAUUGCACAAUGGGCGCAAGCCUGAUGCAGCCAUGCCGCGUGUAUGAAGAAGGCCUUCGGGUUGUAAAGUACUUUCAGCGAGGAGGAAGGCGUUGUGGUUAAUAACCGCAACGAUUGACGUUACUCGCAGAAGAAGCACCGGCUAACUCCGUGCCAGCAGCCGCGG
Molecule: ribosomal RNA, 503 nt
Filed under: uncultured Enterobacterales bacterium
Lineage: Bacteria; Pseudomonadati; Pseudomonadota; Gammaproteobacteria; Enterobacterales
Description: bacterial SSU rRNA
Rfam family: Bacterial small subunit ribosomal RNA
Source: RNAcentral